CAGCCGUAAACUAUGCGCGUUAGGUGUAUCGGUGACCACGAGUUACCGAGGUGCCGAAGGGAAACCGUGAAACGUGCCGCCUGGGAAGUACGGUCGCAAGGCUGAAACUUAAAGGAAUUGGCGGGGGAGCACCACAACAGGUGGAGCCUGCGGUUUAAUUGGACUCAACGCCGGGAAGCUCACCGGAUAGGACAGCAGAAUGAUUGCCGGGCUGAAGACCCUGCAUGACUAGCUGAGAGGUGGUGCAUGGCGUCAGUACU
RNAcentral lists this ribosomal RNA (260 nucleotides) under uncultured archaeon. RNAcentral describes it as "partial 16S ribosomal RNA". It matches the Rfam family "Archaeal small subunit ribosomal RNA", at positions 748 to 1011 of the family's 1478-position model. The record is from RNAcentral.